AUGCUGUUGCGAGCUGUUGGAAGACAAAUGACGUCGGUUAUUUUUAGGCAACAAACGGCCGUACGGAGCAUUGCGAUGAGCCGAGUUGCUCUUGGUGGUGGUGGACAUCAUCAUGAACCCACACCAGUAUACAUUCCAAAACCGGGCUCCCUUGACUGGACAUUCUUCAGCCGAUCGCACACAAAAUCUGCUCACGAAUUCGAACCGUAUAAGCCAGAAAUUGGAGCAUUCAUCGGAGCCGUCGCUUUCAUUGGGCUCACAUUGAUCGCUGUUGUGAUUAAGACUGACGUUUUUAAGAAGGAAGAUUCACAUGGACAUGGGCAUGGACAUGCUAAACAUUCUAAGAAGCAUGAGGAGAAGCAUGAGCAGAAGCAUGAGGAGAAAGAGCACGCAGAGCCGGAAAAGAAGGAAGAAGCUAAGCCGGAGAAACCAGCAGAGCCAAAGGAGCCUGAGCCAGCUCAGAAACAAGCCGAGCAGCCAGAGCAAGCCGAAGAGAAACAGGAAACUAAGGACGCUGAGCCAAAAGAGCAAGUUGAUGAUCGUCAAACUGAAGAAGCGGUUCAUGCUCGACGUGCUCCGGCGGCUGCGGAAGAACCAGCUCCAUCCACAUCGAAAGCUGAUGCUGUCGAGGAGAAGAGAUCCGAACAACAAUCGAUGAAGCCAUCAGAGUCUACAGAAGAGGUACCCAAAUCUGAAUAGUCUCACUUAAAUUCUUCUUCUGCAUCCAAAUAUUGCGUUUUUCUCCUCGUCCCGCUAGUGAAAUGUCUUUUUUUAGUUCAUUUCUCCCCACUUCACACCCACGCAAAAAUUUGAAAUUUUUCGGUUUUUCCAUUUUUUUUUUCGGUUUUUUUUCUGCUCCCCUCACACACACACACACACACACAUGUGCCUUUACGAUUUUAAAACGACAAUAUCAGAUUUAUGUUUCUCUCUUUUUUUUUAAGAAUAAAUGAGAUUUUUUGACAAUUUUCAAUUAAUAAAACAACUAGAUUUUCUUUCAGAACACCACCACCACCUCUGCCGACGGCCUACUACACUGCGAAUAUGUCAUUAUUGGAUCUGGAACGGCGGCCUAUUACGCAUCAUUGUCUAUUCGGGCCAAGCAGGCUGAAGCCAAAGUUUUGAUGAUUGGCGAAGAACCCGAACUUCCCUACAAUCGUCCACCACUCUCAAAAGAACUCUGGUGGUAUGGAGACGAAACAUCCGCAACGAAACUUGCCUAUACUCCAUUAUCCGGCAAAAAACGCGAUAUUUUCUAUGAAGUCGACGGAUUCUUUGUGUCACCCGAAGAUCUUCCAAAAGCAGUACACGGUGGAGUCGCGUUGUUGCGUGGGCGGAAGGCUGUCAAAAUUUGUGAAGAAGAUAAGAAGGUUAUUUUGGAGGAUGGAACAACUAUUGGAUAUGAUAAGUUAUUAAUUGCAACUGGAGUUCGACCGAAAAAGGAGCAAGUUUUCGAGGAAGCCAGUGAGGAGGCUAAGCAGAAAAUUACUUAUUUCCAUUAUCCAGCCGAUUUCAAACGAGUGGAGCGUGGCCUCGCAGACAAAUCUGUUCAAAAAGUGACAAUAAUUGGAAAUGGGCUUCUCGCCUCGGAACUUUCCUAUUCGAUUAAACGAAAAUAUGGAGAAAAUGUAGAAGUUCAUCAGGUUUUUGAAGAGAAAUAUCCAGCUGAAGAUAUUCUUCCCGAGCAUAUUGCUCAAAAAUCGAUUGAAGCAAUCAGGAAGGGUGGUGUCGAUGUUCGUGCCGAGCAAAAAGUGGAAGGAGUCCGGAAAUGUUGUAAAAAUGUCGUGCUGAAGCUAUCGGAUGGCUCCGAACUUCGAACUGAUCUGGUUGUGGUGGCAACUGGUGAGGAGCCGAAUUCCGAGAUUAUUGAGGCUUCUGGCCUGAAAAUUGAUGAGAAGCUUGGUGGAGUUCGAGCUGAUAAAUGCCUGAAAGUUGGUGAAAAUGUGUGGGCGGCUGGUGCGAUUGCAACGUUUGAGGAUGGGGUUCUCGGUGCGAGACGAGUGAGCUCUUGGGAGAAUGCACAGAUUAGUGGACGACUGGCUGGAGAGAAUAUGGCGACUGCUGCUGCUGAUGGGAAGUCGGAGGGAAAAGCUUUUUGGUACCAACCAUCAUUCUUCACCAAAUUCGCCCCACAUCUGCAUAUCAACGCGAUCGGAAAAUGCGAUUCCUCACUGGAAACCGUAUCAGUUCAUGCUGAACCAGACAAGGAUACGCCUCUUGAGAAGGCUGUCGUAUUUUAUAAAUCGAAAGAAGAUGGAAGUAUCGUCGGUGUCCUACUCCUGAACGUGUUCGGACCUUCACUGGAUGUAGCUCGGCGUAUAAUUGAUGAUAGGAAGAAAGUGGAUGAGUACAAGGAAAUUGCAAAGCUUUUCCCACUUUAUGAUCCAGUGAAAAGUGAUGAAGACGAUGCGAAGAGUGCUUAG
RNAcentral lists this unclassified non-coding RNA (2423 nucleotides) under Caenorhabditis elegans. RNAcentral's name for it is "Non-coding transcript of protein-coding gene wah-1". Lineage: Eukaryota; Metazoa; Nematoda; Chromadorea; Rhabditida; Rhabditidae. The record is from RNAcentral.